GCCGCCAACUAAUAAGGUAACCCUUGCCUUUCCUUUCCUAUCCUUCAGUUGUCUUCUUCAUGCCCGUUUUUGAGUGUCUGUAUCCUUCUCCCUUCUCCCUUCUUCUUUCAUUCUUCUUCACCACCAAGUAUCUCCUCUUUAAUAGAUUUUGGGACAGAUCUCCACCACCGUCGUCUCACUAAAGGGUACAGAUCGACUCAUCUCGACUGCGAAUCACAAAACUCUUCACACUCGUCUAUGAUGUACUGAAAUUAUGUGAAAAUCAGAGAAACUAUCUAAAAUCGUUGAUUCACGGGGUUGGUUCAAGUUUUCGGGUGACUGACACCAUUGUGUCAAGUUCUCCGGCCGCUGGGCUUAGUCUAGGUUCAUUAAAGCAAUUCAUCCCCAUGAAAUCAUUAAACUCAUCUCCAGUCAAGAAUAAAGAGGCAUGAUGUAUUGAUGCGUCCCCAUUGAUCACAUCCCCACUCAAAAAUCAACAAGUGGUAUCUAACUAUCAACUAAUCUGAUUGAAUUUUUUAGUAAGUAUCUUCUAUUUUAUUAACGAAUUAGUUAAUUAAUUAUUGGAGUAAUUCAAUGACAUGUAAAUUUCGAAGAACAAUGAAUGUUUCGCUAGGAACCAUACCACUUACCUUCUUAAUAGAAGUUCCAGCAGCGGCGAAUCUGGAGGAUGUGGGAGUUCAAACGGUCAUUACAGAGUACACGAACUGGUGUUAUUUAUGGUUAACCUUUCUAGACCGGCUAGUCGAUGAUGGCGGUAGCACUGGCCGAUAGGAUAUUUCUGGAAGCAACACCGGCCCAGAACAACAGCUAGCUGAUUCUGGAAGCAAUACCAAUUGCCGAAUAAGUGCUGAAUUUCCAUAACCAUCAAUUGCCGAUUAAAUAGCUGCUGAAUAGCUACGGUAACAGCGGUGACACCAAAACACCGACACCAAAGCUAAGAUUUCUUUCUCCUUAUUUAUGCGAUUAAGAUGUUUUAAUUCAAUGCUCAUACAUGAUUAAAAUUACCCGAUUAAUUGCCGACUGCACUUUCCGCAAGAUUCUCGUUAUGAUGUCUGUGUGUAUUUUCUUUGUGACAUAGCUUUAAUUAUAAUUUUAUUACUCCAUAGCCAACCUGCCAUCAGUGUGCAGCUGUGCACCAGUAGGCAUUUAGUUUGAGCAAGCUAAUUAAUGGCCAUUUGCCGGGCGAAAUUAAUAAGUGCCUAAUAAGUUUAUGAUUUUACAAGUUAAAAUGGUGCACAUUGUGUGUUUGCUAAAGCACAAUUGUUAUGUUUUUAACAUGUUCCAUCGAGUCUUCAAAGUCUAAGUCAUAAUCUCUCUGUCAUACUGUAAGUGUUAAUAAGACGGAUUUAUUGAUUUCUGGGUUAAUUGCCGACUGAAAUGACCUGGUUCAUUGCCGACUGUAUUAUUACCGGCUAAGAUUACCUGACUUAUUGCCGAUUGUUUUGUUACCAGGGUAGUCUGAAACUACCUGGUUUAUGUAAAGUUGAUGUUAAAGAAAAAGUUUAAGCAACGAAUUAUUAACAAAUGAUUAAUUAUUAUCUAAUUUGCUACCGGCCUGAUUAGAAAGUCCAUAACUCAUAGUCUGAUAGUCACAUUAUACCCUCUAAUUCGUUCUUGGCUCUGUCUGUAAAGUACUUGUUGUGAUGAUGUGUGUGCAUAAAUUGUCACAAAUAAGCAAGGAAUUAUUAGCAAGCGGUUAGUUAUAUCUUUUGGAAAUCCUACGGUAAUGCCGCAUACAGACAUUCUUAUCUGCUACCAAUAUAAGUUUCGCAAGCCGGGUGAACAUCUCUUAAUUUUCUAUCUGCUAGUUUCAACUUGUUGUCAGCCAACCUCAUGCCGUUUGACAGUGAUACCAGCUAGUUCAUUGUCGGCUAUUUUGUUUAAUUAAUUAAUUAAUUAAUUAAUGAUUUGUAUCAAUCCCAAUGGUUGGUAAUUGGUAUGCCCCUUCAUAUGGUUGGUAAAUGAUUCUAGCACAAAUGAUUCGCAUUGUUUGGCAAUUUACAAUUUGAUGGUAUGAACUUUGUUGAUAUAUGGCCUAGUAAUUCUCGUUUGGGACAAGUGUUUUAAUUGUUCCGGCCUAGUAAUUCACUAAUUCUUUACCGGCCAUAUAUCUGACUUUGAAUAAGGGUAAUUUUGGGCCAUUUGGCAAAGAAGUGGAGUUCUUCUUUUGUUAGAAGGUUAGGUUGGUGAACUAGGGAUUAAUUUACUGGUUGGAUUUUUAAAUUGAAAUAUGACUAUGAGAGUGUUUAUGCUCACAACCUGGAUAAACUAAGGAUUGGUUGGUGGCUUGGUCUGUUUGAUUUGUAGAUUAAAAGCUUGUAUAAUUUGAUGUCAGCUUAUACAGUAUAAACUUCCAACUUGCAACAUGUAUAACCAGCCUAAAAUUCUAUUAGUAUUUACGCCUUUUAUUAAUUUAUUGUUACCAGCAGUGUUAUGAAUUUAGGAGGAAGACUAUGUUGGUAUAAAGUUUAGACAUACCCAUACCAUCUGAUUUACUAUCAGCUCGUUGUCUGCAUAACCUACAAGUCAAUCACCAUGCCAUGACGGCGUCAUUGCUACCAGCAUCCCCUAGAUUUUCUACCUACUUGUGUAGACUUAGGCUUUUAUCUUACCAGCUCCAAAGGGCUAAAUCCUACUCCAUACCAGCCUCGAAAUGUCAUACCAACACUUGAUGCUACGUGAUUGUAGUAUUGUUAUUUUUCAUAGUUUCUAAAUGUGAAUUUCAGUUUGAUUUCUUAUAGUAUCUAGAUGCGAUGGUCUGGUUAUAGUAUCUAGAUGCGGUGGUCUGGUUAUAGUAUCUAGAUGCGGUGGUCUGGUUGAUUUUAUUGUAUUAAUGGAUUUGUUGAUUCUUUAAAUAUGCUUCAUUGGUAAUUCUUUUUAUGUGGUAGGCUGCGAUUUAAGUGUCAUACUUGCCCGAUCAUUCUCUAUUUCUCUGUCAGUUUACACACUUAGUCUAAACACCUCUGUCGGCAUGAAACUCUUACCAGCCUAUAGAGUUAUCAGUAUACCAUAUGAUUUAUUGCUGACUCACUGUCUCCAUAGCCCAAUAAAUUCUAGAUUACUUGUUAAUUGUUACUCCGUAGCUAAUUUGCUACUAGCCUAAUCUAAGCGGCAAGUUUAUGCUUAGUAUAUGAUGAUGUUUUAGAAGAGGUAUGACUUGAUUUAGUAUCACCAGCAUUAUACCAUCAUAUGAGGCCAACAACAAAAAGGUUGUCUUAAAUCUAGACUAAAUAAUCACCCAUGGGUACAUGGUCACCUCUGUUACUGUCUGCUACCGUCCAAACUGAUGUCAGUGUAAUUUGAUGAGUUUUCUUUGCUAACGUCCUGAUUUCAAAAUUUAUACCCUUUGCUAUCGGCCAAAUUAUAUGAGUCUUAUGUAUUACAUAAAUACUAAGCUUCCUACCAGCAUAUACCCUCUUGGCCAACAUCAUAUACCAGCUAUUUAAUCAAUGAUUGUAGUAUGAAUUAAAGAGUCAUACUUACUACAGUUUUAGUUCGCAAAUGGUCUAAUUUGCUACCAUCUAUGGUCUUAUUUGUCGCAAUCAGCUUUUUAAUUCAUGAUAAGCUUGCUGACUAUGAUUUUUUACUUCCCCGUUGACGUUUAUAUUAAGUCAAAAUUGUAAUUUUUGUGACUAAGUUUUAUUGAUGGAAAGACACACGGUUUUUGUUUCCUUUAUUGUCAUGAAUAUUGUUGUUGUCAUGUUGUCAGGGUUCUUGAUUCUAAGGGCUUUGCCCUUCCAUUCUUACCCAUGUGAAGAUUAAAGUUAUUCUUUUAUUGGGUUAUUCCUCUUUGGUGUGCGCAUGUGUUAAGGGCUAGGUUUUUUCUUGCGGUUGAAUAUAUGCUUCUGAUUUUGAACUCUUUCAUCAUCCCUAUUCAAAGACUAUUAUUUCCAUGGUUCGAGGACCUAGGAGACAACAACUUUUUAGAUAAUCUAACCGAAGAUAACUUAUCUUAUGAUAUAUAUUAUUUUGUUAGGUUUGCACGUCACUAAGUGGAGAUUCUUUCACCGAUGAGCAAAUUGAUGAAAUACGAGACAAAUGGGCAUCAUACUUCACCGAACAUUGUGUGUAAAUAACUAACGCUUCAUAGAUCUCUUUUUGUGGAUGUUUCCUUCUAUUCAAAUCAUAUAUAAUUGCCUUAUUAUAUUUUUGGUGCAAAUUUGUAACGUAUGAAGUGUAAAAGAUAUAGUUAUUAUCGACUUGAAACUAUUUAGGUGGUUUGUUUUUGUAAACAUAUAUAUGAUGGUUAACUUACAUGUAAAAAUCAAAGUGUCUUGGAAGUUAUUGGUGGUUGAUGACACUUUUGAACGUUGUAUAAAUGUGGCGUAAGUACAGA
Long non-coding RNA from Spinacia oleracea (spinach), 4336 nucleotides. RefSeq lists it as uncharacterized. The transcript has 3 exons. NCBI's taxonomy places the organism in Eukaryota, Viridiplantae, Streptophyta, Magnoliopsida, Caryophyllales, Amaranthaceae. The record is from RefSeq and is a predicted model, not a curated record.